Molecule: long non-coding RNA, 3113 nt
Organism: Triticum aestivum (bread wheat)
Lineage: Eukaryota; Viridiplantae; Streptophyta; Magnoliopsida; Poales; Poaceae
Exons: 3
Source: RefSeq, a predicted model, not a curated record
CGGCCCCCUACUCGAACGAGCCGCUGCCGGAACCCUGCCGGGCGCGCCGCUACCCCCCUGCGCCAGCACGCCACCACGACGACCUCCCAUUCCCAGUGCACCGCCGCAGGCCCCCUGCCCCAGCGGCCACCGCCACGACCUCCCUCUCCCAGUGCGGCGCCACCUAGCCCCUGCCUUCGAGCGUCGCCGGUCUUCGCGCACAACUAUCCCACUGCUGCCUGAUGAGCCAACUCUGUACUGAGGCUAGCCAUGCUGGUCGAUCACCGAGGGACGGCCGGUCCUUGCCACCGGCGGCCGCACUCCUGACGUGUCUCGAGCGAUUGUGCACAUAGAGGUUUGCUCCCAUCAUCCUCCUCCUCCCAGAGUACGAUGGAAAUGGCGACAAACAUCCAGUAGGUCCUCCUGUGCCUCUGCUCGCCUCGCUUUCACCACCGGACAGCGGUGCAAAUCCAUGUAAAAAAGUUUAGGUAAAGUGUGGAUCCCUGUACAAAGUUCAGCUAAGUUCAGUACAAAAAGUUCAACUAAUUUCUGGCAAUGUUUAAGUUGAGUUCAGUGAAAAAUUCAAGCUCAGUUUAGUAAAAAAAUUAAGUCAAAAGUUGCAUAAUGCCCAUUCUGCUUGCGCUGGUGCACUCCUGCUGUUUGUUGCUGCAGCAGGGUGAUGUGAGUGAGUGAGUGAGAGAGAGAUAGAAAUGAUCUUCCACAUUGACUAACUCGUGACACACUCGGUUCAGUUUCUUGAUUUAGUCCAAUUCAAUUCCUCAUUUUGUUUCAGUUCAAUGGCUACUAUCUCUCUUAGUUUUGAUGUUUAAUUACAAAGUCUAUGUACAUUAACAGCAAAUAAGUUCAAGUAUAUCAAUAAAUGGAAGUUUAGGUAUAUGGAAUUUGAUUCUUGUUGGGUGUAUACAUGAGUAUAAAUGGAUUUUCUUCUUGUUGAACGAAGUUGAACUUGUCGUUAUGCGUCACGGCCGGGGGUGGGAGGCGUGCAGCGGCCGGAGGUGGGAGGCACACGACAGCCGGGGGUGGGAGACCCCCUGUGCAGCUGUGGAGUCCGUCCUGGCUGAUCUACUUUGGCCAUUCAACUUUGCGUCUUCCGCUCGGCCAGCGCUCGACGAGGAGCACCCCGGUCUCGCUCGUGUGUGGAGUUUGGAGUAUAUUCUACCGAUGUUCUGCUCUCCUUUAUUUUUCAACUGAACGUGCUGCCAUGUGUGGAUUUCCCCUCUAACUCCACAACAAGUUGAAUCCCGAAAAUUAUAAUGGUAAGUGCAAGAUUCAGUACUGUCCAUUUUGAUUUUCUAUAAAAAAAAGGCCAAUCAUUCUUGUUGCUUCACAUACACUAGUAUACGGGAGUACUGGAAUCCAUCCACGGAACAAUCAAGCAACCAUAGAUAUCAGCCCACCACCGUGUUGUGGAUGUGAUCUUUGUGCGCUUUUGAGUACUGUAAAACAAUAGUAUGCUUCUGGUUGCUGCUUGCUGCCACUGCCGAAUUGUGUAAGUGCAAAAAGUUUCAUAUCGCAAGUUCAAAGAGGGUUGUAUGCAAGUUCAGAAGUUUGUUUGGAGCAUCUUUAGGUGUUUGUUGUAAUGUAGUAAAUAGUUUUUAAUACUGAAAACUAACCUAGUGAAAAAAUGUCCAAGCGACCAUCAUGUCUGCCUCCUGACCCCUACUGUCAGGUCGCGGCCUCUUCUGCCGUCAGGUCGCAGCCUCUUCCGCCGUCAGGUCGCAGCCUCUUCCUUCUGCAGGUCGCCGCCUCGUACUGCUGCAGGCCAUGCCCCAUCCCCCAUUCUCGUGUGGUCGCCAACGAGGUAUCCUACUACAACGGUGGUCACCGCCCCAGAACUCUCUCCGGUUCAUUUUGAUCUACUUUUGCACAUUUGUUCUUUAUCUCACGAAUUUUGUUAUGUAGGAGGUGACCAAUUGUUGAUCCUGAAGUUUCAUCGCAUGAUUUUUUGUCUCUGAAUUUUGCGCCAAUUCUUGAUCAUGAAGCAUUAAUGCUUGAGCACUGGUUUUUGUGUGUUAGGAGUGUUUUUGUUCCUAGAUCAGUUGCUCAACGACAGAAUUGUGUAUCGCACAGUACAUGUAUUACUACUAUGAAGGUUCAGAAAUAAGAACUCAAAGAAGUAUUGACAGCAUAGCUACUGUAUAUUCAAGGAGUCGGGUUUUGCUCCUGCGUCAUCUCGUCUCCUCCGUUCAGCAAAAGCCUCUAGAUAAGUUCACACAUAUGGUUUUGUUCUUUCUAUAAUUCUUGAGUCCAGACUCCUUCAUUUUUUGUUCCUGAGAAAUUAAAUAAACUUGUAGAAGUUUGGGGUAUAAAAUUCUGUAAGUUCGAAAUCGGGAAACUGGUAAGUGCAGACAAAAUUAAAACUGUCAAAGAACAUGAGAGUGUUUGUCAAAGAACUGAGGCUUCCCCACGACAGUACAAACUUUUUAAAUGUUUGAAUUUUGUUACAGCAAAAACUAAAUGGGUGGCAAGAUGAAUAUAAUUAUUAUUAGAAGUUUCUUUUUGAACUUCUCGGGUUAAUAUACAUGAACUUGAUUAUCUUUUUAACCAGUUAAAUAUACAUGGUUGGCAAGAUGACUAUAGUUGUUAUAGCAAAAACAGUACAUUUUUUCAAGAAAAGUUUCUGUUCGAACUUCUCCGAUUAAUAUAGAUGAACUCAAUUAUCUUUUUAAUAUGCACUCACAUGAGCUCGUUUGGAUUUGUGUGUAUAUUUGUAACACAAUCAGUUGAGAUCUGGAGAGAUCAUAAGUUCAGUCGGCCUUGGCAUCACAAACGGGUUCAGUUCGGUCUCGCACGGUGGGCAGGUCCCCGAUGGUGUGUGCAUCAGGUCUACUCGCACGAGUGGACAUCAGAUCACGCAAGUGGGCAGGUCCCCAAUGCUCGAUCCAGGAGGUGCUAGCUCAUGCUGGCUGGAACUAGGAUGCAAAAGGGUUGACGGAUCCAUGCCGCACAAGCACUGGUGCUCUACUUUCUUCUUACUUUGUGUUCUAAUUUGCUUUCUUAUUAUUUUCAGUUUGCGAGAUACAAAAAAAGUUAAAAAAAUGUUUUGCCUGGAGUUCAUAUUAUUUGCUACCCCGUGAUGUACGUCUAUAGUUUCUCCCUUCAAAUGUGUUGAU